Long non-coding RNA from Lagopus muta (rock ptarmigan), 1455 nucleotides. RefSeq lists it as uncharacterized. The transcript is spliced from 5 exons. The record is from RefSeq and is a predicted model, not a curated record. Lineage: Eukaryota; Metazoa; Chordata; Aves; Galliformes; Phasianidae.
CCGCGGCGCCACGUUCCGGGCCCCGGCUCUGAGGAAACCGCACUGCCCCCGGCCCCGCCCCCGGGGCUGGGCUCCGCUCGGACCCCGGCCGCCCCCCGCCCGACGGCGCCGAGGCCGGACGUCCUGCCCCGCGCCCGGCCAGAGCCCGUGUCCCGCUCGUCCCGCCGAAGCCGAAGCUUAACAAAUGAUGUAAGGAAGAUGGAUACCACGCUUCUUAUUCAGUCCAUCCAAAGAAUUACAGAUGCUGGAUAAAGUCUCCCUCCUGUAACUGAAACAGCAGCAUGACUAAUGAGUGUUUCUCUCCAGUGAUCUAAUGGCAAGUGAUCCUUCUCAUGCCAUGCACAUUGCUACACUGUUCCCUACCAUAACAAGUUCACUGGAUUAUACAGUUCAUCCUCUACCAGAAGUGAAGUAUAUGAUUUGGAAGGAUAAAACUUCCUUGUGGUGUACUCAUGACAAGGUGGAAUACCUGUGGUGUACUCAUGACUGCGUUGUCAAAGGCAGACGAAGGAGAAGUCAAAUUAGAAGCAGAAACUAAGCAAAGAGGUGUUUAUGAUGGGAAAGGCACUGAACAGCAUCAAGCAAGGCUACAAGACUAGGAACAGCAGCAACAACAGUAGAAAAAGAACAUGGAACUGAGAAAAUUGAGAAAGCAUACAUACCAUGGGAGGGGGUAAGAGCUAACAAAGACUCUGUGAGGGCCAGUGGCCAAGAAGACAAGCACAAUGAAAAACAGCAGGGGACCUAGCUGACUUUGCAAGAAUUUAAAAUAAGGAAAACAGGAAAAAAUGAGAAUCUCCAUGCUGUAGAGAGAGCAUUUGUUGGGACAGCAGUGAAGCAGGUUUGCUCUGUACACCGCAAGAAAGUCCUUGGCACACAACUAGGUACUGCAUGGUCAUCUUGCUUGCAGCAGCAAUCUCUUCAAAAUGUUCACUCUGGUUUCAAAUUGUUCAACAGGAAAGUUGUGACUACUGGCAUCUGGGCUAAUGUCAUUCUACAGAUUGGGAUCUGAUGGCUCAUUUUCCCAUAUGUCAUUCACAAUGCCGGUAAAAGAAAUGAACAAGUCACAGACACACAGUAUGCUCCUCCCUUCUCAUCUCCCUGCAAAUAGGUAUCAGGAUCCCUGCAGUCUUACAGCAGCCAGCAGAAACAGUCGGGCCAGCUGGCAGGCAGCAGCACCUGCCCAUGAGAAGCACAAUGUGGCAGCUGCUCUUCUGCUGGCUGCUGUCAGGGGCAGCCUACAAACCAGUGGAUGGAAGCUCUGCCUUAAGGUAACUGCUGUUAUUCCCUAGAAGCUGCAGAAUUGAAGCUCUCAUUUCUCAUCACCUUUUCUGGCAUUCUCCACAGAUGCAGGAUUGGGUACACAGAGAUCUCUGGUGACCAGGGCAGUCACAGUUUCCCUGCUUCUUUGCAAAAGCAAAACCUCAUGAAACUCAAGUUAUUGAACGGCCUUUG